Molecule: ribosomal RNA, 477 nt
Filed under: uncultured bacterium
Lineage: Bacteria
Description: partial 16S ribosomal RNA
Rfam family: Bacterial small subunit ribosomal RNA
Source: RNAcentral
GACGAACGCUGGCGGCGUGCUUAACACAUGCAGGUCGAACGAUGAAGUUCCUUCGGGAAUGGAUUAGUGGCGAACGGGUGAGGAACACGUGAACAAUCUGCCCCUUACACGGGAAUAACUUCGGGAAACCGAAGCUAAUACCCGAUAUUGAAUUCGGUAGGCAUCUACUGAAUUUGAAAUGGGCCGCCGGUAAGGGAGGAGUUCGCGGGCUAUCAGCUUGUUGGUGAGGUAACGGCUCACCAAGGCGACGACGGGUAGCCGGCCUGAGAGGGCGACCGGACACACUGGGACUGAGACACGGCCCAGACUCCUACGGGAGGCAGCAGUGGGGAAUAUUGGACAAUGGGCGAAAGCCUGAUCCAGCAAUGCCGCGUGAGUGAUAAAGGCCCUAGGGUUGUAAAGCUCUUUUACCCGGGAUGAUAAUGACAGUACCGGGAGAAUAAGCCCCGGCUAACUCCGUGCCAGCAGCCGCCGUAA